RNAcentral lists this long non-coding RNA (286 nucleotides) under Vigna radiata. RNAcentral describes it as "long non-coding RNA (VRAD_LNC004892)". Lineage: Eukaryota; Viridiplantae; Streptophyta; Magnoliopsida; Fabales; Fabaceae. The record is from RNAcentral.
UCAAAUUUUAUCUCAAGCACCUGUUUCACAUAUUGUGAGUCAUCUCUUAGAUCACAUCAUGCAUCAUCUCAACAUCAAUCAAACACUAGAAUCUCAUAAAGAAAAACCCAUCACAAAAAACAGGCACAGUUGAAUCAAAGCAGUUCAAUUCAUUCAAGCAGAGCACAACAAAAAAUAAAAUAAAAAACUAAAAUUAAAACAAAAACAAAAAUUAAAAAUUAAAAGCAAAAGUUCAGAGAACUGGGUUGCCUCCCAGGAAGCGCUUCUUUAACGUCACUAGCUUGAC